RNAcentral lists this ribosomal RNA (580 nucleotides) under uncultured bacterium. RNAcentral's name for it is "bacterial SSU rRNA". It matches the Rfam family "Bacterial small subunit ribosomal RNA", at positions 90 to 705 of the family's 1533-position model. The record is from RNAcentral.
GGGGAGCGGCAGACGGGUGAGUAACGCGUGGGAACGUACCUUUUGCUACGGAAUAACUCAGGGAAACUUGUGCUAAUACCGUAUGUGCCCUUCGGGGGAAAGAUUUAUCGGCAAAGGAUCGGCCCGCGUUGGAUUAGCUAGUUGGUGAGGUAAAGGCUCACCAAGGCGACGAUCCAUAGCUGGUCUGAGAGGAUGAUCAGCCACACUGGGACUGAGACACGGCCCAGACUCCUACGGGAGGCAGCAGUGGGGAAUAUUGGACAAUGGGCGCAAGCCUGAUCCAGCCAUGCCGCGUGAGUGAUGAAGGCCCUAGGGUUGUAAAGCUCUUUCACCGGUGAAGAUAAUGACGGUAACCGGAGAAGAAGCCCCGGCUAACUUCGUGCCAGCAGCCGCGGUAAUACGAAGGGGGCUAGCGUUGUUCGGAUUUACUGGGCGUGAAGCGCACGUAGGCGGACUUUUAAGUCAGGGGUGAAAUCCCGGGGCUCAACCCCGGAACUGCCUUUGAUACUGGAAGUCUUGAGUAUGGUAGAGGUGAGUGGAAUUCCGAGUGUAGAGGUGAAAUUCGUAGAUAUUCGGAGGA